CCGAGAUUGCAGUACGCAUGCACGAGCCGCGGAACGGCAGUACGCAUGCGGCUUCGUGGAAAUGGAUUCUAUUUAUACGUUUCAUGGCGCAUGCGCACCGGUGCCAGGAGGACUAAGUAAAAUAAAGACCGGCGGAUUUGCUGCGCAGAGUGACUAGAAAAUACAUAAACCACUUCCGUGUGCCUGCGCUCAUGUGUCCUGCUGCCUCCGCCACCAAACGCUUACGUCCGCAAUUCCACCAAUUGGCCACACGGGGGCAUUAGAGACCAAAGGAAGAAUUAAUAUUAAGCACGAGGUAUGCGUAAGUCAUCACGAGGCAUGCUGCUCAGCACCACCUUUGGGAAACAGCUAAUGGAUAUGUAAUAAAAAUCUCGGUACAGCAGUAACAUACAACGUUAUAUAAGAAUAAUACGAGAACACCUUGCAAGGAGGCGAGGGACUUUACAACCUCUGUCUGGGAAGUCCAGCACCAUUUGCCCGCAGACACCUCUUUGGCAACUGUUCUAGAUCCAGCUGUACAUCCUGUUCCAGAGCACAGCUCAAAACUACAAAGGAAACAAAGGGAGGUCUGAGUAGGCACAAGAAAGAGAAUGUAAUGUUUCCAUACUGAAAAAAGCAAGUAAGCAAUCGAAGACAGAAGCCAUUCCUAGAAUACUGCUAUGGGAAACAUAGCGGCAGAGAAGAAAGAAUCCACAUUUCCCUGAACAACUGCUCCAAGAAAAAAAGAAAAAUCAAUUGCUUUUAGACAUUCUUUGUUUGAAGGCAGAUACCAUCCUCACACUUUAAAAGCAUUAAAAAAAAAAAAAAAAAAAAAAAAAAAAAACCAAUACAGUGCACAGAGUAAUCUCCUCCAACAACACGUGUAUUUGGUGUAGGCAGCAAGUGGCACAGCUCUGUGUCAUAAAGAACUCAAGUUAUAAGCACCAAGCACCAAAGCUCCAGCCAAACCAGCCAAAUGUGCCUACUGACAGCCAGAAUCCUUAGGAAAGACAGCCAGUAAAAAAGUCAAACAAAGCACCUGAUUCUCAGCCUUCUCAGUCCUUUUUGAAAAUCCGGAGGCCUCCCUGUUGGCUUCACUACUGGCCUGCAAAGCCCGAGCUCACAGUCUGUUGGAAGUCCUUGUAACUAGACAGCAGAGAAUUUGGAUUGGACUGAAUUUCAGGAAGCCGUUGCAUUAGAUCAAAAAUAGCGCCUCUCUGAGCGACUGGAAAAAAGGCAGCAUCACACCCAUUUUUAAGAAGGGAAGAAAGGAUGAUCCUGGGAACUACCAAUGUAACAGUCUCACCUCUGUGCUGGGAAAGAGCACAGAGUAGAUCCUCCUGGAAGUUGCGUUAAGGCACAUGCAAGACAGGGAGGAGAUACAGGAGAACCAGCUUGUCUUCACCGAGGGUAAAAAUCCUGCAUGGCCAACCUAGUGGCUGUCUAUGAUGGCAUCACUGCAUCAAUAGACAAGUGAAGAGCCACUGAUACCAUCAACCUGGAUGUCAGUAAGGCCUUUGACACAAUAUCCUGCAACAUCCUUCUCUCCAAAUGGGAAAGAUACAGAUUUGAUGGGUGGAUUGUUGAAUGGACAAAGAACCAGCUGCAGGAUUGGGUCCAGAGAGCGGCGGCCAAUGGCUCCAUGUCUGGAUGGCGAUUGGUGAUGAGUGGUGUCCCACAUGGGCCCAUGCUGAGGCUGAUACUGUUCAAUAUCUUCAACGGCGACAUCAGUGGGGUCGAGCACACCCUCAGAAAGUUUGCUGACAACACCAAGCUGUGGGGUGCAGUGACACACCAGAGGGACAGGACACCAACCAGAGCUGGACAGGCUCAAGCAACGGGUACAGGGAAAUCUCAUCAGGUUCGACAAAUCCAGAUGCAGUGUCUUGCACCUGGGACAAGAGAACCCCCCGCUACCAAUACAUACCGGGGGAUGAAAGGGCUGAGCAUAGGCCUGUCCCAAAAGACCUGGAGGUACUGGUGGACGGCAAGCUGGACGUGAGCCAGCAAUGUGCCCUCCCAGCCCAGAAAACCAACCAUAUCCUGGUCUGCAUCAAAAGAAGCGUGGUCAGCAGGCGAAGGGAGGUGAUCCUGCCCUUCUGCUCUGUGCUGAAGAGGCCUCACCUGGAGUACUGCAUCCAGAUGUAGAGUCCUCAGUGCAGAAGAGACAUGGACCUGUUGGAGCACAACCAGAGGUUGGCCACAAAAAAAUGAACCAAGGGAUCAAACACCUUUCCUACAAGGACAGGCUGAGAGAGCUGGGGCUGUUCAGGCUCCGAGGUGACCUGGUAACAGUCUUUCAGAACCUAAAGGGGAUCUAAAGGAAAGAACAAGGGAAAAAUUAGGUUAGAUAUCAGGAAAAU
Molecule: long non-coding RNA, 2342 nt
Filed under: Gallus gallus (chicken)
Lineage: Eukaryota; Metazoa; Chordata; Aves; Galliformes; Phasianidae
Description: lncRNA (ENSGALG00010027829.1)
Source: RNAcentral